UACGUAGGGGGCUAGCGUUGCUCGGAAUCACUGGGCGUAAAGGGUGCGUAGGCGGGUCUUUUAAGUCAGGGGUGAAAUCCUGGAGCUCAACUCCAGAACUGCCUUUGAUACUGAAGAUCUUGAGUUCGGGAGAGGUGAGUGGAACUGCGAGUGUAGAGGUGAAAUUCGUAGAUAUUCGCAAGAACACCAGUGGCGAAGGCGGCUCACUGGCCCGAUACUGACGCUGAGGCACGAAAGCGUGGGGAGCAAACAGG
Molecule: ribosomal RNA, 254 nt
Filed under: uncultured bacterium
Lineage: Bacteria
Description: partial 16S ribosomal RNA
Rfam family: Bacterial small subunit ribosomal RNA
Source: RNAcentral